GUGCAUUGGUGAUGGCAGUGCCACAUACCACGGAGGGACUUAGAGAUUAUUUGUUGUCCAAGAUUUUCUUACUUACAGCAACACCUCCUCCUUCAAGUGACAUGAUGCGUCGUCGUGAGAGAGCCAACACAUUUUGUGAAUCAAUUCGUGCUCUUGAUGCUACUGAUCUUUCUGCUUCAAGUGUCAGAGACUUCCUUCUACCUGCAAUUCAAAAUCUGUUAAAAGAUGCUGAUUCUCUUGAUCCAGCACACAAAGAAGCUCUGGAGAUCGUAAUGAGGGAAAGAUCUGGUGGAACAUUUGAUACGAUUAGUAAGGUAAUGGGUGCUCAUCUGGGAAUUGCGUCAUCAGUAAGCAGCUUUUUUGGCGAAGGUGGUUUACUAGGGAAAAGGGAAGCUGGAGAUCCAACAUCACCACCAGCACCAGUGGAAGUUGAACCUCUGAGGCCUGUCCUCACACAUGCAGCACCAGCAGAAGACACUAGAUUUAGGCGGAUCAUGAGAGGUGGUUUUACAGACAUGCUCAGAGGAAAAGCAAAGGGCGCCGGGGAUACUCCCCCAAGUCAAUGAUAAUGGCUCUUUCAUCUGCAGGAGAAUUAAAAAGGAAAGUAAGUUCUGUAUGUUGUGCAAUAGACUACAAUGCUUCCAUUUGUUGAUUCUGCGCUGAAGUUUUCCCUUCACAGGGAUGAAAUUUUGCAAUUUAUUUCAUUCUUUAUGUACAAGAAAUGUAAUGAAUUCGACAACAAAACGAGGAGAAAGUGUAUACAUUUACUAGUUGUACAAAAUGAUAUGGGAG
This 792-nucleotide unclassified non-coding RNA is filed under the name Hevea brasiliensis (rubber tree). The record is from RNAcentral. Lineage: Eukaryota; Viridiplantae; Streptophyta; Magnoliopsida; Malpighiales; Euphorbiaceae.